ACAAAGAGAGAGGCAAGGCUGCACGCUCAAAGAUCCAGUCUGCAACGGGCAAUAAGAAUGUCCAUUUGGAGAUUUGUGAUAUUUCUUCCAUUACCGAUGUGAAACUUUGGCGUCGCGAUUUUGUGAGAUGGAUGUGCGUGUGCAUAUUCUGGUGAACAAUGCCGGUUUUGCUCGAAAAAAGCGUCUCACUACCUCCGAAGGGUAAGCCCGCAUU
Salvia hispanica is the source of this 214-nucleotide non-coding RNA. Lineage: Eukaryota; Viridiplantae; Streptophyta; Magnoliopsida; Lamiales; Lamiaceae. The record is from RefSeq and is a predicted model, not a curated record.